GGCCGCAUGGCCCAAUGGCAAGGCGCUUGACUACGAUUCCUCAUUCAUGACUUGCGAAAUGUUGGGGGUUAUCAAGAGAUUCCAGGUUCGACCCCUGGUGCGGUCA
Non-coding RNA from Morchella snyderi, 106 nucleotides. Lineage: Eukaryota; Fungi; Ascomycota; Pezizomycetes; Pezizales; Morchellaceae. The record is from the annotation of a GenBank genome assembly.